This 73-nucleotide transfer RNA is filed under the name Trichonephila inaurata madagascariensis. It matches the Rfam family "tRNA". From Rfam's summary of the family: Transfer RNA (tRNA) molecules are approximately 80 nucleotides in length. Their secondary structure includes four short double-helical elements and three loops (D, anti-codon, and T loops). The record is from Rfam by way of RNAcentral. Lineage: Eukaryota; Metazoa; Arthropoda; Arachnida; Araneae; Nephilidae.
GUCUCUGUAGCGCAAUGGAUACCUCGUUGGACUUCUAAUCCAAAGGUUGUGGGUUCAAAUCCCACUUGGGAUG